Long non-coding RNA from Jaculus jaculus (lesser Egyptian jerboa), 931 nucleotides. RefSeq lists it as uncharacterized. The transcript has 3 exons. The record is from RefSeq and is a predicted model, not a curated record. NCBI's taxonomy places the organism in Eukaryota, Metazoa, Chordata, Mammalia, Rodentia, Dipodidae.
GCCGGCGUUCUGCAGCCCUGCCCGGGCCGCGGGUGACCUGGGCACUGCGGUGGGACGUCCCGGAACAACUUGGAACCUCGGGCCGUGGAGAGUCGUGCCCGUACCUGGGCCGGGGUCGGGGGACAAUCUGAGGCCUGGACUGAUGUCGCGCGUCUGGGGAACACCGAGGCAGGGUUUCUGCAGACCCACGUCCAGCUCGCAUCUCCCUGGCCCCGGCCCCGGCGGCCUCCGAAGAGCCCUGGGCUGCCUUUCCCCACUGUGGUGGGAAGCCUUGACAGGAGCUUUCCUGUAUCGCCACUAAUGCUCAUUACAGACACUAACUCCAUCACCUCCUUGCCGUGGGUAGUGAAACUCAGACUUGAUUGACAUGAAGAACAGCCACCAGUGGACGGCAGCCCUAAGAAGGAAUACUCCUUCUCUGGACCUGCACAUGGAUUCCCAGGAAAGCUGUUUUUGUCCUGGGCCUGCUAAAGUGGGUCAGCUGGCAGAUGGCAGAGAAGACGGAGGAGAGUUGAGAUCCAUGGGUAAGACAAGAAGAUAACUGACUGCCCAUCAUGAGAUUGGCCACCUCUUCCACCUCUUCCAGGGCCCAGGAGAACUUGCAGUGGAAGCGACCCCAUGAACACUGCACUUACCGCUAGCCUGACAACCAGCUCCAGGGUGGUGGCGGCAGACACAGUGAUCAAGCAAAGCCUAUCCAAACAAAAUUCCAGAGGCUACAAAGAACUAGACACUAAAUCAGACUGACAACAGGCCUGCCAUGGCUCAGGGAACAUUGCAGAAGCGGAGGCAGAAAAAAUGUAAGAGCCACAGAGUGGGUGGGAAUACCCUGAUGCCCAGUGCCCCCACUAUUCCACUGGGACUGGCUGAGGCCUUCAUGACCACACAGUGAAUCCCAUACCCCACUGUGGAGGGCCCCAGAGAAACAGGA